This 206-nucleotide ribosomal RNA is filed under the name uncultured bacterium. RNAcentral describes it as "partial 16S ribosomal RNA". It matches the Rfam family "Bacterial small subunit ribosomal RNA", at positions 568 to 773 of the family's 1533-position model. The record is from RNAcentral.
UGCGUAGGCGGCCCCGUGUGUCAGAGGUGAAAUCCCACGGCUCAACCGUGGAAUUGCCUUUGAAACUGCGAGGCUUGAGUCCGAGAGGGGAAGGUGGAAUUCCUGGUGUAACGGUGAAAUGUGCAGAUAUCAGGAAGAACACCCGUGGCGAAGGCGGCCUUCUGGCUCGGAACUGACGCUGAGGCACGAAAGCUAGGGUAUCGAAC